This is a long non-coding RNA of Esox lucius (northern pike), 1915 nucleotides long. NCBI's taxonomy places the organism in Eukaryota, Metazoa, Chordata, Actinopteri, Esociformes, Esocidae. The record is from Ensembl.
CCGUUAAACGUCACACUGCAUAAAACCUAAAGUCAUAUUGUGUGUAUGCCUUAGUGUAGCAUGCGCCUCUAAUUACACUAUGAUGUGAAAGGCGAUGUUUGAUAGCAGCAUCUUGCUGCCUGUGUACAACAGGGUUUAGUGUUGGUUCUCACUACUGAUUGUAAUGUUUUGUAUUUUCAAUACGGUUGAAUUGAUUGAAUCAAAGCAAAACAACCAAACACAAUUAUAGUGUAGUUCAUAUAAAUUAGAAUUACAAUUAAAAUGAAUACUUCAAUUAAAAGGACCCAUGUAAAGGUCCAUGUAAUCCUCUGAUAGUGUCUGUUUUUCCACAACAAUAGAUUUAAAUAGCUGAAUGAGACUUGUGUCGGAGAUACAUUUGUUUACGGUGUAAAUGAGUGAAUAUGGCACGUUUUUUUCUUCUGAGGUAACGUGGGACACAUUUUCAACAAUUACUGCCCCCGGUGCAGAUUACCUAGUCACCAGGUAACCAGCCCUGUCAGCGAGUUGACACGCCGUCCAGGUCAGUGGUCUGGCCAAAACCUAGCACGUGCACACGUGCAGCGACUGUUUCUCGUUGCCGGCAUGAAUCAAAAAUGCUAUUUACAUUUUAUGUUAAUGUUAUUUAAAUUAAAUGGUUUUCACAACAAUUGUAGUCUAAGUAGCCUUUGGGAGGUCACGUACUGACAUCCACAACGACUUGACUCUUGACCCCCUCCAUGCCACCUGCAUUGGCCGGCAGGCUUGGAGCAGCUCAGGUCAUUAGGGCCAUUCAGUAGAGUCCAUUAAGUCUCCCUGGGGGUGUGGGGGGGGGGGGGGGGAGUUGUCGGCCAACGGACAGACCUCAGGAUUCCUGCACUGGCCGUAUUGCUGAUCCACUGCUAUAGUGUGGAGCUGGAUGCGUUUAGAACCUAACCACUGCGGUGUGUGUGUGUGUGUGUGUGUGUGUUUGUGCACUGUACAAUUAUUUUUUUAUUCAAAAUAAGGUCAAAGGACAAUCAGCUACAGUAUGAUUGUGUGCAAAAACAAAAAUGUCAAAUUAGAAACGCAAUCCUAUUGCAGCUAUAUGCUGUACGAGUGUAUGUUGAUAAACCAUGUUUCACACAUGUGCACACAGGAAAAGCACACAGAAAUGACUACAGACAGAGAAAUGGAAAACACAUAAGAAGAAGAUUGAUCAGUACACUUUGAUCAGUAUAAAUGUUGAAUCCUUUGAAAUUAUAUCACUUUGCACAUUACAUAACUUCAGGAAGAAAAAAAAAUAAAUCCUUUGAAGGUUUUUCUUUCACGCCUCUUACCAUUAGAAACUGUUAAAUGCUAAUGUGUAUUAAGUCUAAAAGCAACUAUCAUUCAUCUUUCACAAUGCUUGGCUGUAAAUUACAACAUUAUCUGUGUAGAAACGGACAAAAAAAAGGAGGUAGCGCUGGAAAUAAUGGAAGGAUAUUUAAAAAAAUGAAGAAAAAAACAGUCUCUGGGAAAGAUUAGGCCUGCCCCUUUCCAGUAGGGCCUGUCAGAUUUAUUUCCAACAUCAAGGGCCUCUCUCUCCUCUCUCCAACCCCAUUCGUCAGAGGCCUGUCGGGGUUUUAUGUGUGGCCAGAGUCUUGGACGCAGACUAGGGAGGCUGGGUGGAGGGCUGGGUAGAGCUGAGGGCUAGGGGAGCAGAGAGCUGGUGCGGGGGGUCAGUGGGCAAGCCUUGCCUGUCCCCAGGAACGGUUGCCAGGGUACGUGGGUCAGAGGCAUCCUCCGUCGUCUGGUAUCCCAGGGUGCAACAGGAGCACGGGACCCCAGUGAAUCCGCGGUGGAGGUGAAAGGCCCUGUCACCAAGAUAAAAGUGGACCUCCCUCCUCCUCUGAUCUGCCAUGAGAGAGAGCCGGAGGGAGGGAGGGAGGGAGAGAGAGAGGAGUAUACCGAAGGAGGG